AAGUUCUACAACAACUCUGGCAGCUUGGCUUGCAUGUUCUCCAAACUCAGCCGCUGCUUGAGCAGCUGAGAUAGCAUCCUUAAAUUUCAUGUUCCAAUACUGCCUACCAACUGAAAAAUUACCAUUACCAUCUCAAGGAUAUGAUUGCCCAUGUUCCAACCUUUAAUCAUUGAAAACUAAGUGGCAUGAACCACCAUCAUCAACACAAUAUUGCCUUCAAAGUUCUACAAUAGCUCUGGGAGCUAGGCUUGCGUGUUCUACAAACUCAAUCGCUACUUGAGCAGCAGAGGUACCAUCGUUAAAUUUCAUGUUCCAAUACUGCCUACCAAACAAAAAAAUUACCAUUACCAUCUCAAGGAAAUGAUUGCCCAUGUUCCAAUCUUUAUCCUUGAAACUUAAGUGGGAUGAACCACCAUCAUCAACAUAAUAUUACCUUGAAAGUUCUACAACAGCUCUGGCAGCAAGGCUUGCAUGUUCUACAAACUCAGUCGCUACUUGAGCAAUAGAGGUAGCAUCCAUAAAUUUUAUGUUCCAAUUCUGCCUGCCAACAGAAAAAUUACCGUUACCAUCUCAAGGAAAUGAUUUCCCAUGUUCCAACCUUUCAUCCUUGAAACAUAAUUGGCAUGAAACACCAUCAUCAACACAAUAAUACCUUGAAAGUUCUCCAACAUCUCUGGCAGCUAGUCUUGCAUGUUCUGCAAACUCAGAGGCUACUUGAGCAGCAGAGGUCGCAUCCUUAAAUUUCAUGUUCCAAUUAUGCCUGCCAAUAGAAAAAUUACCAUUACCAUCUCC
RNAcentral lists this long non-coding RNA (792 nucleotides) under Nicotiana tabacum (common tobacco). RNAcentral describes it as "long non-coding RNA (NTAB_LNC018588)". The record is from RNAcentral. Lineage: Eukaryota; Viridiplantae; Streptophyta; Magnoliopsida; Solanales; Solanaceae.